GAAGACAAACAGAAGGAAAUGAAUGGAUAAAAUAAAAAUAUAUAGGAAAUUUACUUCAACAUAUUCUACCGAAGACGCAAACACAAAGCUCUGUGAGGUACUGGCCACUUCUCUCAUGUAAGGGGAGAAAUCCUUCCCGAAUCCUGGGAUUAGUAAUCUAAUGCAGAUAACUUGUUCAACCACUAGGACAUCAUGUGACAGACAGUCCCAUCGUCUCACUGCUCUUACAGUAAAGAAGCCUUUCCUCUAGAGAUCCGACUGAAUAUAUUUAAAGAGGUUGUCCGACCCCUUUUAAACUGAUGACCUAGCCUCAAGAUAGGCCAUCAAUAUCCGAUCGGUGGGUCCGACACCCUGCAGUGAGAAGUGAACAUCAGCUACGAAGGAGCGCGAGGACAGACCGACCCGCUACAGUGGAGAAGCUCAGAUCCAAGAUGAACCAUGGGCGACCAGAUGUGGGUCUAAUACAACACUUCAGUGAACUCUACUACGUAUGGGGCUCCAAAGAAGACGGAUGGACACUGCUCCUCUGCUAAUGAAGAUGCAUAGGCAGAAAAGGCUUGUUUUCGCACCAGUAUUGGAUUGGACCUCUGCUGAUCGGCAAAGGUUUGCCUUCUCCGAUGAGUCACAUUUUCUGCUUCAUGGAACGGAUGGACGUUGGCGUGUCAGGUGAGAAACAUCGGAGAACAAAAACUCUGCAGCCACUGCUGGAAGAAUACAAGCUGGUGGGGGCAGCGUCAUGGUGUGGGGAAGGUUUUCGUGGCAUUCUCUCGACCUGCUCAUCCCAGUGGAAGGCACUCUCCACCGAUUUGGGUAUGAAUCCAUGCUUGCAGAUCAUGUACACCCAUACAUGCUGAUUGUCUUAUCUGUGGCGGAUGGGAUUUUCCAGCAAGACAAUUCCAAUUGUCACAUGGUUAGAGAUGUCCGACAUUGGAUUGGAGGAGCAUGACCAAGACUUCCAUGUACUACCCUGACCCCCUAAUUCCCCAGAUUUGAACCCAACUGAACAUCUGUGGAACCACCUCGAUGGUCGUGUUUAGUGUAUGGAUCCUCCUCCAGCAGCUGUGGGACGCACUGCAGUCAUCAUGGCUCCAGACACCCGUGACAACCUACCAGGACCUUAUAGAGUCACUCCCAGCCCGUCUAGCUGCUGUCCGGGCUGAACACGGCGGUUACUCUGGAUAUUAGCUGCUGGUCAGAAUAAUGUGAUUCAACUGUCUAGAUACACGUGACACCUCUGUGAUAAUUAAAGGGGAGGAGGGCGACACUAACCUGACAUUAACCAUAUCUGCUGGGGUCCCCACAAAUCCUCCUGUAAAACCUAAAACACAAAA
This is a long non-coding RNA of Bufo bufo (common toad), 1331 nucleotides long. RefSeq lists it as uncharacterized. The transcript is spliced from 2 exons. NCBI's taxonomy places the organism in Eukaryota, Metazoa, Chordata, Amphibia, Anura, Bufonidae. The record is from RefSeq and is a predicted model, not a curated record.